This is a long non-coding RNA of Rhincodon typus (whale shark), 596 nucleotides long. RefSeq lists it as uncharacterized. The transcript is spliced from 2 exons. Lineage: Eukaryota; Metazoa; Chordata; Chondrichthyes; Orectolobiformes; Rhincodontidae. The record is from RefSeq and is a predicted model, not a curated record.
AGAUCCCUCCUGCAAUGAUCUUCCUUCGGCUCCGUCCUGCUAAUGAGCCGCCCAGUUGAUUGGUGAUUUUACACGCCCUGACCAAUUGUGUGCCUGGAAAGGCGGGGUUUUCACAACUAAAGCCCGGAGAUGGAUGAGUUGAGAGAAAGGAGGGGUGGGGAAAAGGUGUCGGAAGCUUCAACGUACAGUAAGCAUCACUGCGAUCGCUCUUUGAAAACAUGUCAACAAAAUUAAAUAUUAACCAAUGACAGAAGGCAUUUUCCCCUGUCUCCUUCUCCACCCCCCAAAGCCCCCCACCCACUCAAGCCGCCUCCAUCCUCCCCGUGUCCCGGAUUAAGAGAGCCCGGCCCCGGACACCGACUUCACGGCGCACCGCAAAACACCUAAAGCUACUAAAAUCUCCAAAAUCCGCAGGUGUCGGUUGGGGGCGCUGAUACCAGUAACAAGGAAAAGCCUGGUUACAGCAAACGAGAGAAGAGGCACUGUGUACCUUACCAGCAAGAAACCACACAGAGACACCUCCGAAGAACACUCCUCGUUGAAAUAAAUUCAUCGGAAUUAUUUGUUGUUUGACGCAAUAAAGACAGUUUUGUUUU